This 2099-nucleotide unclassified non-coding RNA is filed under the name Leishmania donovani. Its description in RNAcentral is "gene:LdHU3.13.0850(CDS-product:Dual_specificity_p hosphatase_catalytic_domain_containing_protein_putative)". The record is from RNAcentral. Lineage: Eukaryota; Euglenozoa; Kinetoplastea; Trypanosomatida; Trypanosomatidae.
GCAUGCACCUGCCACAGCGUGUCACCCGUGGAUGAGUGCGCUGUUCACAAAAGCACCUCCAACUUCAGCUCCAACCCCCCCGCACACGCAAACGCGCAAGCAUACAUACACACUUAGAGGUGCCGUUCGCCUCUCCUUGCGAAGGAACGGAAAGCCGCUAUAGUCAUGUUUUGCCGCGACACGCUCUGCGACACGACGCCGGCUGUCAUAGACUUCCUCAACGGCCUCUCCACCGCUGCGAGUAAGUCGCCCUGCAGCGGCGACGGCGCACUACAACACGGCCAUAACGCGCAGAGCUGUAUGCCUGUUAUGGGUCAUGUUUUCCUCAGCAGUCUGCUCUGUGUCUCGAGGCUUGCACGCAAGCGACAGCUUCUCCUGAAGAGCCUCAAGCCGUCAGCCCUGCCGCCAAGAGCGUCUGCAACGCCGUCGAUGGAAGGCAUCGCAGUGCAGUCCCCUUCAGCAGCAGACGCAGGCGAUACAGUCUUUGUGCGCCUGGUGCUUUCUCUCCUCGGGCACGCACUGAUGAGGCAGGCAACCAUGGCACCAUGCGCCGCCGCCCCGGGCGACAAUGCCUCUCUGCAAGCAGCGCCACUGCCCUGGUGGCCCGCAACCUCCGCUCCAAGUGAGAGCGCGCAAGAUUUCGUGUAUGAUGUGCAGUGCGUGGGCGACGAAGACGACCGAGCCGGCGACAACGUCGGGUUCAGUGAGGAACAUGCGCCCGGGGUGGGCCACACACCCUUCACCGCCAGCACAAGCGUUCAUUGUCGUAUCGUCUUGCGUUCGCAUCCGGUGGCCAUAUUUUCCCCCGCGAUGAUGAGUGAGUUAACGCUGGACGCUGAGCAGCGCACGUCCGUCGCAUCGAGGACCGGGUGCCACGGCGGAGCGCCAGGUGCCGACAGCAGUGAGGCCGUGGAUGCCGAAGCGGUUUCUGGCUCGUGCGUUGCGCGUGCCUUGGAAGUGUUCGACGCACGCGUGCGCGACCACGAGGAGGCGUGCCUGCGUCAGAUCGCUGAGAUAGUAGGGUCGCUGCAGCGGCUUCUUGAGAAGCCCGCCACAGAGGUGCAGAGCCCCGGCGGACUGGCCAGUACAGGCUUUCCUUCUGAAAGCGCGAACGGUGACGCCUCUCGGCUUGGCGGUUGCGCCUCGCCACUUCACGAGUGGACCAUAGACGUCCCCAUCUAUGGUGUGGUUCUUUGCAUCGAGGACACGCAUGCUACGCGGCUGGAGCGCGUACGCCGCCUCACCACACCGCUGCUGCAGGCGGCGACCGGCUGUGGUAACGCGGCAGGCGGGCCUCUCGGUCCCGUAACACAGGUCCUUUCCAAGCUGCACACCUGGUGUGCUGCAUCGACGGCGGCGUCGUUCACCUCGAGUGCGUCCCCUGGCGCUUUUUCGUGCGUCCCCGGCAUACGGACUAUCACACGCAUGCAUGUGACGGAGUUGCGCCAGCUCGUUGACAGCCACCUCAAGGACUCACAGACAGCAGCAGCGCGUCUACCAGGGCCGGCCUACCCCGCCACCGUGGGUUACGACGCUUCACAGGCUUUGGCGGCUCCUGCUUGCGUCGUGCACUGCCAGCUCGGCGUGUCACGCAGCCCAAGCGUGGUGAUGCUCUUCUACAUGGACGUGCUCGCGUCACAGCUGCGCGCGGCUGCCUCGGCAGCAGAGGCGCCCCUCGACAUAUAUCACGGCCUCCUGAACGCGCUCGUCCAGGCGCGUCAUCAAGUACGGCCGAACGUCUGCUUUUCCGCGCAGCUGCUUUCGCUCUGGAGACGGUCGAUGCAGCUCGACACACCAGCCAGCCCCACGCGAGUCGUGUAGAGGGAGAGAGAACCACCAUCACCACCACCCAAGCACAGACACACAGGCGCGCAAGGUGCAUGUGCACUGAUGGUGGUUUGGUCAGUGGGGGCGAAGCACUGAUGCAGCUGUUGCAGGGGACUCCUCGUCCUUGACUCAACGCAUGCGCACGUCUAUGUGCAUGUGUAUCCGUGUAUCUCUGGAGUAUGCGUGUGUGCCCGUGUGUGUGUGUGUGUGGACUACUCACCGGCAGUCUGUGUGCCGCACAGCGUGCCCGUUGUCGUUUGAGAAGAGCGGAC